This 544-nucleotide ribosomal RNA is filed under the name uncultured Glomeromycotina. Its description in RNAcentral is "SSU rRNA". It matches the Rfam family "Eukaryotic small subunit ribosomal RNA", at positions 548 to 1098 of the family's 1831-position model. The record is from RNAcentral. Lineage: Eukaryota; Fungi; Glomeromycota.
UUGGAGGGCAAGUCUGGUGCCAGCAGCCGCGGUAAUUCCAGCUCCAAUAGCGUAUAUUAAAGUUGUUGCAGUUAAAAAGCUCGUAGUUGAAUUUCGGGGUCCUACCGUUGGUCGGGCUUUGUCUGUACUGGUGUGUAGAACUUCUACCUUCUGGGGAACCAUCAUGCUAUUAAUUUAGCGUGGUGGGAAACCAGGACCUUUACCUUGAAAAAAUUAGUGUGUUCAAAGCAGGCUUAUGUCUGAAUACAUUAGCGUGGAAUAAUAGAAUAGGACGGUGGUCCUGUUUUGUUGGUUUCUGAAUCACCGUAAUGAUUAAUAGGGAUAGUUGGGGGCAUUAGUAUUCAAUUGUCAGAGGUGAAAUUCUUGGAUUUAUUGAAGACUAACUACUGCGAAAGCAUUUGCCAAGGAUGUUUUCAUUAAUCAAGAACGAAAGUUAGGGGAUCGAAGACGAUCAGAUACCGUCGUAGUCUUAACCAUAAACUAUGCCGACUAGGGAUCGGACGAUGUUAAUUUUUCAUGACUCGUUCGGCGCCUUACGGGAAAC